CCGCGUGCCCCGCGGGUCACGGGGCGGCCUCCGCGGAGCUCACCUGUGGCUCCGUUACGAGGCUUUGGGCGGCGGAUGCUCGGCUCGGCCCUGCCGCUCCGCAGAGGCCGCAUGGCCCGUGCCCCGGGGCGCCCCCCCCCCCCCCGGGAGGCUGGUCCUGCGGGUCCCCGAGGGCGCCGGGCUACCCCGGGCUCCGAGCCCCCUUCUCAGCGCGGCCGCCGCGACCCCGGCAGCGACCUCGGGGAGCCGAGGGGCCCGCAGGAGGGCGCGACCUGCAGCCCGUGCUCUCCCUCCUGCGUGAAUACAACGAGAGAACGACUGCGCUGAGGGAUCCUGACCAGCCGACCCGGUGCAGGACUGCGGUCAAGGGCAAAGAGCUCCAGGAGCCCAGGGCCACGCCGUGGUCCGACAGUCGGCCAACAGGAAGUCGGAGUAGAGAGAAGGCACAGGGGUGCUUUGCAGGGCCUGGGAGGAGGGGGCGUUGUUGAAGGGGUGCAGAGCUCCAGCGUUUGACGACAAGAGUUCUGGAGAUGGACAGUAUGGGCGACUAUACUUCGUGCC
RNAcentral lists this long non-coding RNA (561 nucleotides) under Canis lupus familiaris (dog). Its description in RNAcentral is "lncRNA (ENSCAFG00030007759.1)". The record is from RNAcentral. Lineage: Eukaryota; Metazoa; Chordata; Mammalia; Carnivora; Canidae.